UUACCAUGCAGUCGAACGGCAGCACGGGAGCAAUCCUGGUGGCGAGUGGCGAACGGGUGAGUAAUACAUCGGAACGUGUCCUGGAGUGGGGGAUAGCCCGGCGAAAGCCGGAUUAAUACCGCAUACGCUCUGAGGAGGAAAGGGGGGGAUCUUAGGACCUCUCGCUCAAGGGGCGGCCGAUGGCAGAUUAGCUAGUUGGUGGGGUAAAGGCCUACCAAGGCGACGAUCUGUAGCUGGUCUGAGAGGACGACCAGCCACACUGGGACUGAGACACGGCCCAGACUCCUACGGGAGGCAGCAGUGGGGAAUUUUGGACAAUGGGCGCAAGCCUGAUCCAGCAAUGCCGCGUGUGUGAAGAAGGCCUUCGGGUUGUAAAGCACUUUUGUCCGGAAAGAAAACACGCCUGUUAAUACCGGGUGUGGAUGACGGUACCGGAAGAAUAAGCACCGGCUAACUACGUGCCAGCAGCCGCGGUAAUACGUAGGGUGCAAGCGUUAAUCGGAAUUACUGGGCGUAAAGCGUGCGCAGGCGGUUCGUUAAGACAGAUGUGAAAUCCCCGGGCUUAACCUGGGAACUGCAUUUGUGACUGGCGGACUCGAGUAUGGCAGAGGGGGGUAGAAUUCCACGUGUAGCAGUGAAAUGCGUAGAGAUGUGGAGGAAUACCGAUGGCGAAGGCAGCCCCCUGGGCCAAUACUGACGCUCAUGCACGAAAGCGUGGGGAGCAAACAGGAUUAGAUACCCUGGUAGUCCACGCCCUAAACGAUGUCAACUGGUUGUCGGGUCUUCAUUGACUUGGUAACGAAGCUAACGCGUGAAGUUGACCGCCUGGGGAGUACGGUCGCAAGAUUAAACUCAGAG
This 858-nucleotide ribosomal RNA is filed under the name Paraburkholderia caledonica. RNAcentral describes it as "bacterial SSU rRNA". It matches the Rfam family "Bacterial small subunit ribosomal RNA", at positions 49 to 906 of the family's 1533-position model. The record is from RNAcentral. Lineage: Bacteria; Pseudomonadati; Pseudomonadota; Betaproteobacteria; Burkholderiales; Burkholderiaceae.